RNAcentral lists this ribosomal RNA (1064 nucleotides) under Bacillus velezensis. RNAcentral's name for it is "bacterial SSU rRNA". It matches the Rfam family "Bacterial small subunit ribosomal RNA", at positions 52 to 1096 of the family's 1533-position model. The record is from RNAcentral. Lineage: Bacteria; Bacillati; Bacillota; Bacilli; Caryophanales; Bacillaceae.
UACAUGCAAGUCGAGCGGACAGAUGGGAGCUUGCUCCCUGAUGUUAGCGGCGGACGGGUGAGUAACACGUGGGUAACCUGCCUGUAAGACUGGGAUAACUCCGGGAAACCGGGGCUAAUACCGGAUGGUUGUUUGAACCGCAUGGUUCAGACAUAAAAGGUGGCUUCGGCUACCACUUACAGAUGGACCCGCGGCGCAUUAGCUAGUUGGUGAGGUAACGGCUCACCAAGGCAACGAUGCGUAGCCGACCUGAGAGGGUGAUCGGCCACACUGGGACUGAGACACGGCCCAGACUCCUACGGGAGGCAGCAGUAGGGAAUCUUCCGCAAUGGACGAAAGUCUGACGGAGCAACGCCGCGUGAGUGAUGAAGGUUUUCGGAUCGUAAAGCUCUGUUGUUAGGGAAGAACAAGUGCCGUUCAAAUAGGGCGGCACCUUGACGGUACCUAACCAGAAAGCCACGGCUAACUACGUGCCAGCAGCCGCGGUAAUACGUAGGUGGCAAGCGUUGUCCGGAAUUAUUGGGCGUAAAGGGCUCGCAGGCGGUUUCUUAAGUCUGAUGUGAAAGCCCCCGGCUCAACCGGGGAGGGUCAUUGGAAACUGGGGAACUUGAGUGCAGAAGAGGAGAGUGGAAUUCCACGUGUAGCGGUGAAAUGCGUAGAGAUGUGGAGGAACACCAGUGGCGAAGGCGACUCUCUGGUCUGUAACUGACGCUGAGGAGCGAAAGCGUGGGGAGCGAACAGGAUUAGAUACCCUGGUAGUCCACGCCGUAAACGAUGAGUGCUAAGUGUUAGGGGGUUUCCGCCCCUUAGUGCUGCAGCUAACGCAUUAAGCACUCCGCCUGGGGAGUACGGUCGCAAGACUGAAACUCAAAGGAAUUGACGGGGGCCCGCACAAGCGGUGGAGCAUGUGGUUUAAUUCGAAGCAACGCGAAGAACCUUACCAGGUCUUGACAUCCUCUGACAAUCCUAGAGAUAGGACGUCCCCUUCGGGGGCAGAGUGACAGGUGGUGCAGGGUUGUCGUCACCUCCUGUCCUGAAAAUGUUGGGUUAAGUCCCGCAACGAG